GCCCCGUUCGUCUAGUGGCCUAGGACGUCGGCCUCUCACGCCGGUAACACGGGUUCAAAUCCCGUACGGGGUAC
This 74-nucleotide transfer RNA is filed under the name Corynebacterium diphtheriae. RNAcentral describes it as "tRNA-Glu". It matches the Rfam family "tRNA". From Rfam's summary of the family: Transfer RNA (tRNA) molecules are approximately 80 nucleotides in length. Their secondary structure includes four short double-helical elements and three loops (D, anti-codon, and T loops). Lineage: Bacteria; Bacillati; Actinomycetota; Actinomycetes; Mycobacteriales; Corynebacteriaceae. The record is from RNAcentral.